AUGGAGGGGUGCCUGGUGAGGGGCGGGCUUUGCCCUGCAGGGCUGGAACUGAUCUAUUCCCAAGGGAGGGAGGGUGGAAGCCCGGGUCAGAGGACCCCUAUACUGCCUUCUUCCUUGUUCUCAGGGCUUGCGGGGUCAUGGAACCCUGCACAAUGCAGAGAGCAAGGUCACCAGAGGAACACUGGAGCCUCAGUUGUCUCAGCCGCGUGGAUGGGAGGGGGUGACACGUGGGGAGGCUUGUUCACCAGGAGCCCAAGCCCCCAGGAUGUCAUGGGACUGUGGUGGAGGGGCAGGGAGGCCCUGCUUAGGGCAGGGAAACUUUUCUACCACUCGUGCCCACUGAGUCUGGCAGCCCCAGCACAGGAAGGGAGGCCUGGCCAACUUGGGGUUGGGGUGGGAGUCCGCAAACCAAGGCACUUUCCAGUCAGCAGGGCCCCUGGAGGCCUGCGUGCACUUGGGAGGGCCCCCAGGAGAAGGAUACUGAGUGGGGCCUGGAAGGGCCUGGCUGGGAUGGCUGGCCCUGAGCCAUCUCUGCAUACCAGUGGGCUGAGCAGGGUGCCAAAGCUCAAGGGAGACGUCAAGCCCGGCCCUGCCCCUGGAGUGUGGGCGGCCUGACAAAGCUCUCCGUCUCCUCCCCCUUCCUUUCCUAAGGAAGGCCUGGCCAGACCACAGCCUUCUUGGGCCUCCGGCCAUAGGACCAGUGUCCGCCAUCGCGGCUUCGAGCAGAGUGGGCCCCACGUCCUCCAGGUAGACCUGAGGCCCAGUUGCCCCUCCCUUUCACGGCAGGCAGGCCUGGGCUGGCAGCUCUCGGGCUGCUCUUGAAGGCUCCCUCUGUCCGGCGGUGGAUUUGUCUGUCGGGCCUCCCCCCCGCCCGUCCUUGGGGUCUGGACUUAUUCACCGGCCUUCCGCCCAUGGGAGCCCCCUUCCCAGAAGCAGGUUCUGCUGGGCCCAGCAGAACCAGUCAGUGCCUUAGACUUCUCCCCGAGCCCCACGCCCCAGCAUAGGGGUCAGAGUGUGCUGCGGCGCUCAGGAAAUUCUCCGUGAAUGAGUGAUGUUUAAUGGAGGAAAGAAUGCCUUUUUUGAUAUAUUCUUCACAUUCAGAGUUAGUUUUUAACGAAACACGGGGUUUUAAGGAAAUGCAACCAUUAUUGUCCCUGGGGUUGUGCUGCUUGACAAGAGGAUUAGAAGGUGGGGUUUGGGGCUAGGACCCCAGGCCCUUCCUGAUCUGUACCAACACCAACCCUGAGGGUGUCCCCCCAUCGACCAGGGCUGGUGUCAGAGUCUGUAGCACCCACCGCCCUGUGCCAGGACCCACAGACAGGUGGGAGCACUCAGUCUGUCCUGCGGCUCAUGCACCCUCAUGAAAAGUCCGUCGGCUCCCCCCACCUGGGCCAGAGUGAGAAGAAACAGGUGGCUCUGGGGUCCCCCUCUCCCCGCCUUACCUUGCCCCGAGGGCGCUCUCCCCGAGGACCCCCAGCACAUGCCACCCCUCUUUCCUCUCACGGCCAGGCCUUCACACCCCCAUCCCUCAGGCACAGGUGGACGCCCCCACCCUGCCCUGGGGUGUGCACCUGUCUGACUGCAGGAGGGCCCCCGAAGGAAGCCACAGUGGUGGAUGAGGGGCCACCUCGGGCUCUUUCCCCUCCAUGUUCUCUCCUCUGGACUGGUCCCUCCCUGGCCCCCUCCCCUCCACCGCGCCCCCCGCCCCCCCACAUGUGACAUAGGAACAGAGGGUGUUGCUGGCAGGAGCCCGGUGCAGGGAGUGCUGGUCCUCCAGUGGGGGUCACAGGCAGAACCCACCACUCUGGGGAGGCUUCGUCCACUGUGAGCCUGGCCUCCUCGCAGGUGGCCGGCCCCUGGGACCGCCCCCCUCAGCAGAGAUGCGAGCCUCCGGAUACGGCUGCGCUGUGACCCACCAGCCAACCCAAGACCCGGUCAUCCAAUAAAAAGUCUGUGUUGGGGCUCA
RNA transcript from Cervus elaphus (red deer), 1966 nucleotides. RefSeq lists it as uncharacterized. The transcript has 2 exons. Lineage: Eukaryota; Metazoa; Chordata; Mammalia; Artiodactyla; Cervidae. The record is from RefSeq and is a predicted model, not a curated record.